RNAcentral lists this long non-coding RNA (533 nucleotides) under Cavia porcellus (domestic guinea pig). RNAcentral describes it as "lncRNA (ENSCPOG00000039790.1)". The record is from RNAcentral. Lineage: Eukaryota; Metazoa; Chordata; Mammalia; Rodentia; Caviidae.
AACUGUCACGUUCACCUUUCAGGAGGGAAAAAGUAAGGAGUCAAAGAGUGAAAGAGAGAUGGAUUUGGGAGUAAUCUCACCCUCCGAUUGUGUUAUCAACCUCCUGAGAAGGAAAAGCCAUAUUCUUAUUUCUAUCUAGAAGAACACGGAAAUAUCAUUGCUCUGGCCAAGAGUGGCCUUGAGGAGAAUGCUCACCCAGCAAGUAACUAUUUUAGCAGCAACUUGCUUUAUGGUCAUGGAGUGGGGCAAUCAGAAGGAAGUGCCCUCUUUUUUUUGGACGGAGGUACAACAGUGUGGACCCUCACACGAGCAAGCCCAGAAGCGUGUGUGUCCAACAUCUUAACCUUUGAACGUGGGAGGAACACACGGAGCUCACUAAAACUGCAUGCAUGCUUCUGCGGUCUGCAGUGCUAAUAAACAUCUGGAAUCCAGUGGCCAUCACUCUGAGCACCUCUUGGAAUUGCAGAGGCCAAAGUUAACUUGUAUUAAUCUCAUGAUGUUUCAAUAAAUUUAGUAUUAAAUAUUAAUACAAA